GUGAAUCAUCGAAUUUUUGAACGCAAAUUGCGCCUUUUUCGGAAGGCAUGUCUGUUUGAGGGCACCAUUUAACAAAUAAUGUGCAUGCUGUGUGUAUUUUUACGCACACGUGCACACGUUGAUGAGCUUUUCCAUAUAAAGCAAUUUUUUUGGUUGCACGUAAUGGACAGCGUGUGCUUUCCUCUAAUUUUUCU
RNAcentral lists this unclassified non-coding RNA (194 nucleotides) under Paraglomerales sp. RNAcentral's name for it is "partial contains 5.8S ribosomal RNA and internal transcribed spacer 2". The stretch from base 1 to 65 matches the Rfam family "5.8S ribosomal RNA", at positions 84 to 154 of the family's 154-position model. Lineage: Eukaryota; Fungi; Glomeromycota; Glomeromycetes; Paraglomerales. The record is from RNAcentral.